This 253-nucleotide ribosomal RNA is filed under the name uncultured bacterium. Its description in RNAcentral is "partial 16S ribosomal RNA". It matches the Rfam family "Bacterial small subunit ribosomal RNA", at positions 524 to 776 of the family's 1533-position model. The record is from RNAcentral.
UACGUAGGUGGCAAGCGUUGUCCGGAUUUAUUGGGCGUAAAGAGCGCGCAGGCGGUUUGUUAAGUCCGAGGUGAAAUCUCCCGGCUCAACUGGGAGGGGUCUUCGGAUACUGGCAGGCUUGAGGAGAGCAGAGGUGAGUGGAAUUCUCGGUGUAGUGGUGAAAUGCGUAGAUAUCGAGAGGAACACCAGCGGCGAAGGCGGCUCACUGGGCUCCACCUGACGCUGAGGCGCGAAAGCGUGGGGAGCGAACCGG